Molecule: ribosomal RNA, 433 nt
Filed under: uncultured bacterium
Lineage: Bacteria
Description: partial 16S ribosomal RNA
Rfam family: Bacterial small subunit ribosomal RNA
Source: RNAcentral
AACGAACGCUGGCGGCAUGCCUAACACAUGCAAGUCGAACGAUCCCUUCGGGGAUAGUGGCGCACGGGUGCGUAACGCGUGGGAACCUGCCCUUAGGUUCGGAAUAACUCAGAGAAAUUUGAGCUAAUACCGGAUAAUGUCUUCGGACCAAAGAUUUAUCGCCUUUGGAUGGGCCCGCGUUGGAUUAGCUAGUUGGUGGGGUAAAGGCCUACCAAGGCGACGAUCCAUAGCUGGUCUGAGAGGAUGAUCAGCCACACUGGGACUGAGACACGGCCCAGACUCCUACGGGAGGCAGCAGUGGGGAAUAGUGGACAAUGGGCGAAAGCCUGAUCCAGCAAUGCCGCGUGAGUGAUGAAGGCCUUAGGGUUGUAAAGCUCUUUUACCCGGGAUGAUAAUGACAGUACCGGGAGAAUAAGCCCCGGCUAACUCCGUG